Molecule: ribosomal RNA, 253 nt
Filed under: uncultured bacterium
Lineage: Bacteria
Description: partial 16S ribosomal RNA
Rfam family: Bacterial small subunit ribosomal RNA
Source: RNAcentral
UACGUAGGGCGCGAGCGUUGUCCGGAAUUAUUGGGCGUAAAGAGCUCGUAGGCGGUCUGUCACGUCGGCUGUGAAAACCCGAGGCUCAACCUCGGGCCUGCAGUCGAUACGGGCAAACUAGAGUACUGCAGGGGAGACUGGAAUUCCUGGUGUAGCGGUGAAAUGCGCAGAUAUCAGGAGGAACACCGGUGGCGAAGGCGGAUCUCUGGGCCGAUACUGACGCUGAGGAGCGAAAGCGUGGGGAGCGAACAGG